This 428-nucleotide ribosomal RNA is filed under the name uncultured bacterium. RNAcentral describes it as "bacterial SSU rRNA". It matches the Rfam family "Bacterial small subunit ribosomal RNA", at positions 356 to 773 of the family's 1533-position model. The record is from RNAcentral.
GGGGAAUAUUGCGCAAUGGGCGAAAGCCUGACGCAGCGACGCCGCGUGAGUGAUGAAGGCCUUCGGGUUGUAAAGCUCUGUUGGAUGGGAAAGAACAUAUUGAGGGAACAAUACCUCUCGAUUUUGACGGUACCUGUCCAGAAAGCACUGGCUAACUCCGUGCCAGCAGCCGCGGUAAUACGGGGAGUGCAAGCGUUGUUCGGAAUCAUUGGGCGUAAAGCGCGUGUAGGUGGGAUGGUGUGUCAAAUGUGAAAGCCCUCGGCUUAACCGAGGAAUUGCAUUCGAAACUACCAUUCUUGAGUAUGGGAGAGGGAAGUGGAAUUUCCAGUGUAGAAGUGAAAUUCGUAGAUAUUGGAAGGAACACCGGUGGCGAAGGCGGCUUCUUGGCCCAUUACUGACGCUGAGACGCGAAAGCGUGGGUAGCAAAC